GUGCUGGCUUUGGCCGCAUGUAUACUAAAAUUGGAACAAUACAGAGAUUAGCAUGGCCUCUGCAGAAAGAUGACAUACAAAUCUGUGAAGCGUCCCAUAUUUUU
This is a small nuclear RNA of Artibeus jamaicensis (Jamaican fruit-eating bat), 104 nucleotides long. The record is from RefSeq and is a predicted model, not a curated record. NCBI's taxonomy places the organism in Eukaryota, Metazoa, Chordata, Mammalia, Chiroptera, Phyllostomidae.